Small nucleolar RNA from Dendrobium catenatum, 158 nucleotides. RefSeq annotates it as small nucleolar RNA snoR145. The transcript has a single exon. The record is from RefSeq and is a predicted model, not a curated record. Lineage: Eukaryota; Viridiplantae; Streptophyta; Magnoliopsida; Asparagales; Orchidaceae.
AGGUGAAGGUCCCAGCAGAGGGGAUGGAUCGCUAGCGUUGAGUCCUCUCUAACAAUUGCAAUAAAUCCUUCACAAAUGAAUGAAUUUGAGCCGAUUUGUAAGACACUUUGGAUUUGUGUUAUGGUUUUCAUUGCGUCUAGAAACGCGGCUAUAUCAAA